AAGGAGUCUAACAACUAUGCGAGUAUUUGAGUGGCAAACUCGAGUGCGUAAAGAAACUGAACGCGUGGGAUUUGUUCUCUUACGGGAGGGCAAUGCACCAUGGGCCAGUCCUUGUCUUUGACUUGGAUUGCGCUAGAGCAUAUCUGUUGGGACCCGAAAGAUGGUGAACUAUGCCUGAAUAGGGUGAAGCCAGGGGAAACUCUGGUGGAGGCUCGUAGACAUUCUGACGUGCAAAUCGAUGUUCAAAUUUGGGUAUAGGGGCGAAAGACUAAUCGAACCAUCUAGUAGCUGGUUCCCUC
RNAcentral lists this unclassified non-coding RNA (299 nucleotides) under uncultured fungus. RNAcentral describes it as "partial contains 5.8S rRNA, ITS2 and 28S rRNA". It matches the Rfam family "Eukaryotic large subunit ribosomal RNA", at positions 668 to 961 of the family's 3401-position model. The record is from RNAcentral. Lineage: Eukaryota; Fungi.